GUCUUUAUGAUUGGUAGAAUAUAAUCAUCGCAUAAUCUUUCAUUUAAAUUGCA
This 53-nucleotide transfer RNA is filed under the name Spinibdella lignicola. Its description in RNAcentral is "tRNA-Cys". The record is from RNAcentral. Lineage: Eukaryota; Metazoa; Arthropoda; Arachnida; Trombidiformes; Bdellidae.